Small nuclear RNA from Fukomys damarensis (Damara mole-rat), 100 nucleotides. The record is from Ensembl. NCBI's taxonomy places the organism in Eukaryota, Metazoa, Chordata, Mammalia, Rodentia, Bathyergidae.
UUGCUUCAGCAGCACAUACACUAGAAUUAGAAAGAGACAGAGAUUAGCAUGGCCCCUGCACAAGGAUAAUGUGCACAUUCAUGAAGCUGUCCAUAUUUUU